Molecule: non-coding RNA, 552 nt
Organism: Elaeis guineensis (African oil palm)
Lineage: Eukaryota; Viridiplantae; Streptophyta; Magnoliopsida; Arecales; Arecaceae
Source: RefSeq, a predicted model, not a curated record
CCGCUCAAAGGCUCCCACCCGAUUGAACUCCUAAAGGACGGAAAAAACGAAGGAAAAACCAACAAAGGGUUUGGGGAUUUUUGAUCGAAAGGAUUCUUCUUUGGCUUCAAAAUUUUCAAUUUAUGGAGCUCUGUUCUAAUGAUAAUAUGAAUAUGAGACUUGCACCGGGUAAGUUCUACCUUUCUGAAAUGUGGAUCCAUGAGGAUGGCGAACUCUGGACGGCCUGCUGUUAGGCAACCGAGUUCUAGCCUUUUUUUCAUGUCUUUUUGUUUUCCUCUCCCUCCUCUUUCUGUCUCUUUUGGAAUAAUGCUUUGCAUACGGAGGAUAGCAGCACUGCUGUAUUUAUAAAGAGGCUAUGAUGACUGCCUGUGCGAGAUGCGCCAAAAGAGUCUAGAGAGAGAUGGAGGUGAUGCAUUUCUGUUCUUGUUGUUGUAGUGGCAGGGCAAGCUUGGACGGUCUGUUACAUCGCAGGCAACCGCUUGCAGCCACCUCAUGGUUAAGGUGCAGAGGAACUUGCAAUGCCUUAUCUUUCAAUGGCAGAUCUGAGCCUUC